RNAcentral lists this transfer RNA (72 nucleotides) under Ovis aries (sheep). It matches the Rfam family "tRNA". Rfam says of the family: Transfer RNA (tRNA) molecules are approximately 80 nucleotides in length. Their secondary structure includes four short double-helical elements and three loops (D, anti-codon, and T loops). The record is from Rfam by way of RNAcentral. Lineage: Eukaryota; Metazoa; Chordata; Mammalia; Artiodactyla; Bovidae.
UCCCUGCUGGCUUAGACAGUAAAGAAUCUGCCUGCAAGGCAGAAGACAUGGGUUCAGUCCCUGGGUUGGGAA